RNAcentral lists this ribosomal RNA (375 nucleotides) under uncultured bacterium. Its description in RNAcentral is "partial 16S ribosomal RNA". The record is from RNAcentral.
AGACAGCGGUGAGAAGUGGCUGUAACCUUAUCAGAAAAUGCGUACUUGAUGAACACGGUUCGUGCCCACGCGGUAAGAUGACGACGGAAAGCGUAGCGCAGGUCUUGUAACUGUCGUUAAAGCGUGGACUUAUCCAUGACAGGAAACUGAACUAAGGUAGGGCAGGUCCCGGUACGGUGAUGCGUAAUUCGGGAAGAACACCAGUGGCGAAGGCGCUCUGUGGGCCAUAUGACCAUGGAAGCCAGGGACAGGGAUUAAUACCCGUAGUCCUGGCGUAAACGAUGAAAUAGGUGGGGAUGACCUCGUGUCACCAGCGUUAUGUCCGCGGGAUAGCAGCAGUGUAAAUCAAGGAUGAGGGGCCGACAAGCGGGGAGA